This 229-nucleotide ribosomal RNA is filed under the name uncultured bacterium. Its description in RNAcentral is "partial 16S ribosomal RNA". It matches the Rfam family "Bacterial small subunit ribosomal RNA", at positions 568 to 796 of the family's 1533-position model. The record is from RNAcentral.
UGCGUAGGCGGAAUGGUAAGUCAGUGGUGAAAUACUACAGCUCAACUGUAGAACUGCCAUUGAAACUACCAAUCUUGAGUACAGUUGAAGUGGGCGGAAUGUGUUAUGUAGCGGUGAAAUGCUUAGAUAUGACACAGAACACCUAUUGCGAAGGCAGCUCACUAAGCUGUAACUGACGCUGAGGCACGAAAGCGUGGGUAGCGAACAGGAUUAGAUACCCUGGUAGUCC